RNAcentral lists this ribosomal RNA (301 nucleotides) under uncultured bacterium. RNAcentral describes it as "partial 16S ribosomal RNA". It matches the Rfam family "Bacterial small subunit ribosomal RNA", at positions 509 to 808 of the family's 1533-position model. The record is from RNAcentral.
CAGUCGCCACGGUAAUACGUAGGGUGCAAGCGUUAAUCGGAAUUACUGGGCGUAAAGCGUGCGCAGGCGGUUAUAUAAGACAGAUGUGAAAUCCCCGGGCUCAACCUGGAACUGCAUUUGUGACUGUAUAGCUAGAGUACGGCAGAGGGGGAUGGAAUUCCGCGUGUAGCAGUGAAAUGCGUAGAUAUGCGGAGGAACACCGAUGGCGAAGGCAAUCCCCUGGGCCUGUACUGACGCUCAUGCACGAAAGCGUGGGGAGCAAACAGGAUUAGAUACCCGUGUAGUCCCUGUCUCUUAUACC